Molecule: ribosomal RNA, 118 nt
Filed under: Otolemur garnettii (small-eared galago)
Lineage: Eukaryota; Metazoa; Chordata; Mammalia; Primates; Galagidae
Source: RNAcentral
UCCGAGCCAUACCACCCUGAAUGCGCCCGCUCUCGUCUGAUCUUGGAAGCCAAGCAGCAUCAGUCCUGGUUAGUACUUGGAUGGGAAUGUCUCACUUUUGCUCAGGCUGGUCUCCAAC